RNAcentral lists this ribosomal RNA (430 nucleotides) under uncultured bacterium. RNAcentral's name for it is "bacterial SSU rRNA". It matches the Rfam family "Bacterial small subunit ribosomal RNA", at positions 353 to 798 of the family's 1533-position model. The record is from RNAcentral.
AUUGGGGAAUUUUCCGCAAUGGGCGAAAGCCUGACGGAGCAACGCCGCGUGAGGGAUGAAGGCCUCUGGGCUGUAAACCUCUUUUAUCAAGGAAGAAGAUCUGACGGUACUUGAUGAAUAAGCCACGGCUAAUUCCGUGCCAGCAGCCGCGGUAAUACGGGAGUGGCAAGCGUUAUCCGGAAUUAUUGGGCGUAAAGCGUCCGCAGGCGGUCUUGUAAGUCUGUCGUUAAAGCGUGGAGCUUAACUCCAUUUAAGCGAUGGAAACUGCAAGACUAGAGUGUGGUAGGGGCAGAGGGAAUUCCCGGUGUAGCGGUGAAAUGCGUAGAUAUCGGGAAGAACACCAGUGGCGAAGGCGCUCUGCUGGGCCAUAACUGACGCUCAUGGACGAAAGCCAGGGGAGCGAAAGGGAUUAGAUACCCCUGUAGUCAAU